CCAGAAGGAGGAUUGUUCUAGCAUAGUCAACUAUACCGUGAAACUGCGAAUGGCUCAUUAAAUCAGUUAUCGUUUAUUUGAUAGUACCUUACUACUUGGAUAACCGUGGUAAUUCUAGAGCUAAUACAUGCUAAAAAUCCCGACCUCUGGAAGGGAUGUAUUUAUUAGAUAAAAAACCAAUGCCUUCGGGCUCCUUGGUGAUUCAUGAUAACUUAACGAAUCGUAUGGCCUUGCGCCGGCGAUGGUUCAUUCAAAUUUCUGCCCUAUCAACUUUCGAUGGUAGGAUAGUGGCCUACCAUGGUUUCAACGGGUAACGGGGAAUUAGGGUUCGAUUCCGGAGAGGGAGCCUGAGAAACGGCUACCACAUCCAAGGAAGGCAGCAGGCGCGCAAAUUACCCAAUCCCAAUUCGGGGAGGUAGUGACAAUAAAUACUGAUACAGGGCUCUUUUGGGUCUUGUAAUUGGAAUGAGUACAAUUUAAAUCCCUUAACGAGGAACAAUUGGAGGGCAAGUCUGGCCCC
This 520-nucleotide ribosomal RNA is filed under the name Arthrobotrys pyriformis. RNAcentral's name for it is "SSU rRNA". It matches the Rfam family "Eukaryotic small subunit ribosomal RNA", at positions 60 to 568 of the family's 1831-position model. The record is from RNAcentral. Lineage: Eukaryota; Fungi; Ascomycota; Orbiliomycetes; Orbiliales; Orbiliaceae.